CUGACUUUGGUACCCACCUACAAAGAGAAGAUGAAGGAGCUCCCCCUGGUGUCCCUGUUCUGCUCCUGCUUCCUGGCCGAUCCCCUGAAUAAGUCAUCCUAUAAAUAUGAAGGCUGGUGUGGGCGACAGUGUAGGAGGAAAGAUGAAAGCCAGCGGAGGGACAGUGCUGACUGGAGAGAAAGAAGAGAGCAGGCGGACACGGUGGACCUGAACUGGUGUGUAAUUUCUGACAUGGAAGUCAUUGAGCUGAAUAAAUGCACCUCAGGCCAGUCCUUUGAAGUCAUCCUGAAGCCGCCCUCCUUUGAUGGGGUGCCCGAGUUCAAUGCCUCCCUACCCAGACGGCGAGACCCAUCACUGGAAGAAAUCCAGAAGAAACUGGAAGCAGCUGAGGAGCGAAGGAAGUACCAGGAAGCUGAGCUCCUGAAGCACCUGGCAGAGAAACGAGAACAUGAAAGGGAGGUGAUCCAAAAAGCCAUUGAGGAGAACAACAACUUCAUCAAGAUGGCUAAGGAAAAACUGGCCCAGAAGAUGGAAUCCAAUAAGGAGAACCGGGAGGCCCACCUUGCUGCCAUGUUGGAACGGCUGCAAGAGAAGGCGCCGCCUGCUGCGCGGUGACUCCCAGGACCCGAUCGGUGGCCUCGUCCCAUGGACAAGCACGCAGAGGAGGUGCGGAAAAACAAGGAGCUGAAGGAAGAGGCCUCCAGGUAAAGCCCAGAGGCACAGAGGUUUCCAGAAUGCCGGACCGCUCCAGCAGCUCCGCAGUUCCUGAGGCAGCCUCGCCCACCGCUGGCUGCUCUCCCAGCACUGGGGUUUGGGGGGAGGGGGGUGGCCAGGGGCGUUUCCUCUGCUUUUGGUGUUUGUACAUGUAAAGAAUUGACCAGUGAAGCCAUCCUAUUUGUUUCAGGGGAACAAUGAUGGGGUGGGAGAGGGGAGAGGAGAGAGGUUGGGAAAGGGAGAUGGAAGAGGACUCAUGGACAUUGCAACCCAGCCUGGGUCACGUCCUCGGGCUUUUCUUCACAGUGAGCAUCCGGGCACCGCCUUGAGGGAAGUUAAAAACAGGCAGUAGAACUCUGAGGGUAAGGCAGAGCCCUGGGUGGAGCGAGAACUGCAGGGCGUGGCCUGAGACGCCAGCAGGGAGUGGGGCCCUCCACCUGAGGCAGUGGGAUGAGGUCUGAGUGUGUGUGUGUGUUAACCAUUAUCUUUUGAUCAUCAUGACCAAUAAUGAAACAUUUACUCC
This 1237-nucleotide long non-coding RNA is filed under the name Sus scrofa (pig). RNAcentral describes it as "lncRNA (ENSSSCG00030008391.1)". The record is from RNAcentral. Lineage: Eukaryota; Metazoa; Chordata; Mammalia; Artiodactyla; Suidae.